GGGGGAUAUUGCACAAUGGAGGAAACUCUGAUGCAGCAACGCCGCGUGAGGGAAGAAGGUCUUCGGAUUGUAAACCUUUGUCCUUGGUGACGAAACAAAUGACGGUAGCCAAGGAGGAAGCUCCGGCUAACUACGUGCCAGCAGCCGCGGUAAUACGUAGGGAGCGAGCGUUGUCCGGAUUUACUGGGUGUAAAGGGUGCGUAGGCGGCUCUGCAAGUCAGGUGUGAAAACCAUCGGCUUAACUGAUGGACUGCAUUUGAAACUGUGGGGCUUGAGUGAAGUAGAGGUAGGCGGAAUUCCCGGUGUAGCGGUGAAAUGCGUAGAGAUCGGGAGGAACACCAGUGGCGAAGGCGGCCUACUGGGCUUUAACUGACGCUGAAGCACGAAAGCAUGGGUAGCAAAC
RNAcentral lists this ribosomal RNA (403 nucleotides) under uncultured bacterium. RNAcentral's name for it is "bacterial SSU rRNA". It matches the Rfam family "Bacterial small subunit ribosomal RNA", at positions 356 to 773 of the family's 1533-position model. The record is from RNAcentral.